RNAcentral lists this ribosomal RNA (370 nucleotides) under uncultured cyanobacterium. RNAcentral's name for it is "bacterial SSU rRNA". It matches the Rfam family "Bacterial small subunit ribosomal RNA", at positions 376 to 761 of the family's 1533-position model. Lineage: Bacteria; Bacillati; Cyanobacteriota. The record is from RNAcentral.
CGAAAGCCUGACGGAGCAAGACCGCGUGAGGGAGGAAGGCUCUUGGGUUGUAAACCUCUUUUCUUGGGGAAGAAAAAAUGACGGUACCCAAGGAAUCAGCAUCGGCUAACUCCGUGCCAGCAGCCGCGGUAAUACGGAGGAUGCAAGCGUUAUCCGGAAUUAUUGGGCGUAAAGCGUCCGCAGGUGGCACUUCAAGUCUGCUGUCAAAGACAGUGGCUUAACUACUGAAAGGCAGUGGAAACUGAAGCGCUAGAGUGUCGUAGGGGUAGAGGGAAUUCCCGGUGUAGCGGUGAAAUGCGUAGAGAUCGGGAAGAACAUCGGUGGCGAAAGCGCUCUACUGGACUGCAACUGACACUCAGGGACGAAAGCU